GAUGAACGCUGGCGGCGUGCUUAACACAUGCAAGUCGAACGGAAUCAGAAAGCAGAAAACAGAGAGCAGAAAAAAAGCGGAAAACAGAAAGCGGAAAGCAGAAAACAGAAAAGUCCAGUGCGGUGAAAGGCUGAAUAAGCCGGUGGCCGGGUUUGGGUUUUAUCUGUUCUCUGGAUUCUGAAAUCUGUUCUGUGUUUUCUGAUUUCUGAUUCAGUGGCGGACGGGUGAGUAACACGUGGAUAACCUGCCUUAUGCACAAGGAUAACAGAUGGAAACGACUGAUAAUACUUGAUAAGCCGACGGGGUCGCAUGGUUCUGACGGAAAAGAUUUAUCGGCAUAAGAGGGGUCCGCGGCUGAUUAAUUAGUUGGCGGGGUAACGGCCCACCAAGAUAACGAUCAGUAGCCGUACUGAGAGGUAGAACGGCCACAUUGGGACUGAGACACGGCCCAAACUCCUACGGGAGGCAGCAGUGGGGAAUAUUGCACAAUGGACGCAAGUCUGAUGCAGCAACGCCGCGUGAAGGACGACGGCCCUCGGGUUGUAAACUUCUAUCAAUAGGGAAGAAAGAAAUGACGGUACCGAAGUAAGAAGCACCGGCUAACUACGUGCCAGCAGCCGCGGUAAUACGUAGGGUGCAAGCGUUAUCCGGAAUUACUGGGCGUAAAGGGUGAGUAGGCGGCAACGCAAGUCAUAUGUGGAAUCCCUGUGCUCAACACAGGAAUAGCAUAAGAAACUGCGUGGCUUGAGUACAGGAGAGGCAAGCGGAAUUCCUAGUGUAGCGGUGAAAUGCGUAGAUAUUAGGAAGUACACCAGUGGCGAAGGCGGCUUGCUGGACUGAAACUGACGCUGAGACACGAAAGCGUGGGGAGCAAACAGGAUUAGAUACCCUGGUAGUCCACGCUGUAAACGAUGAGUGCUAGGUGUCGGGGUGAGAAUCCCGGUGCCGGAGCUAACGCAAUAAGCACUCCGCCUGGGGAGUACGUACGCAAGUAUGAAACUCAAAGGAAUUGACGGGGGCCCGCACAAGCGGUGGAGCAUGUGGUUUAAUUCGACGCAACGCGAAAAACCUUACCAAGGCUUGACAUCGUCCUUGAUAGCGUAGAGAUACGCUAGCCCUUCGGGGGAGGAUAGACAGGUGGUGCAUGGUUGUCGUCAGCUCGUGUCGUGAGAUGUUGGGUUAAGUCCCGCAACGAGCGCAACCCUUAUCUUUAGUAGCCAGUGGGUAAAGCCAGGCACUCUAAAGAGACUGCCGUGGAUAACACGGAGGAAGGUGGGGAUGACGUUAAAUCAUCAUGCCCUUUAUGUCUUGGGCUACACACGUGCUACAAUGGCGGAUACAAAGUGAAGCGAGACCGCGAGGUUGAGCAAAGCACAAAAAAUCCGCCCCAGUUCGGAUUGCAGGCUGCAACUCGCCUGCAUGAAGCUGGAAUCGCUAGUAAUCGCGAAUCAGCAUGUCGCGGUGAAUACGUUCCCGGGCCUU
Molecule: ribosomal RNA, 1482 nt
Filed under: uncultured Eubacteriales bacterium
Lineage: Bacteria; Bacillati; Bacillota; Clostridia; Eubacteriales
Description: bacterial SSU rRNA
Rfam family: Bacterial small subunit ribosomal RNA
Source: RNAcentral